UACAGAGGGGGCAAGCGUUGUUCGGAAUUACUGGGCGUAAAGGGCGCGUAGGCGGCCCGCUAAGUCGAACGUGAAAUCCCCAGGCUUAACCUGGGAACUGCGUCUGAUACUGGAUGGCUUGAAUUCGGGAGAGGGAUGCAGAAUUCCAGGUGUAGCGGUGAAAUGCGUAGAUAUCUGGAGGAAUACCGGUGGCGAAGGCGGCAUCCUGGACCGAGAUUGACGCUGAUGAGCGAAAGCUAGGGGAGCAAACAGGG
Molecule: ribosomal RNA, 254 nt
Filed under: uncultured bacterium
Lineage: Bacteria
Description: partial 16S ribosomal RNA
Rfam family: Bacterial small subunit ribosomal RNA
Source: RNAcentral